GGGCUGAGCGAGCUUGCUUGCUUCCGCUCCCCCCACCCUCUCUCCUUGAUCCCUGCUUCUUGUCCCUUUUUAUUCCCGUUCCCACCUGUUUGUGUCUUCUUCCUUCCUUCUGUUCCCCUGACUGAGUGGAAGAUUCUCUUGUCUGUCUCCCUUUUCCAAACUUUUCAUUGGUUUCUCUACUUUCCCUUUAAACCCUUUUUAUUACUCCACCUCUAACUCCUCUUUUUUUGGCUCCUCAGACACACCUGACCGUACUCUGUGUUUUCCUGCAUUUUCCUUAAUGUUUCUGCUGUAGUCCAAGAUAUGGAAAUCGCCACACAUUCCCCAACCCUACAGAAAAUCCAACUUGUGCCAGAAUAUACUGAAGUUUGCUGUUCCAAGCUGGUCUCUCAUCUUCUACAUCAGAUCCCUCUUCUACAUCUACAUCUUUAUCCUCCUGAUCAUCAACGGACAGCUCACUCUUCUUGAAAGCGUCUUCAACAGAGUCUUCAUUGGAUAGGAGAUCUUUAACUGACUCGAUGACAUCAUCAUCUAUUUCUCUUUUUACGACCUUGCUGUUCUUAGGCAUUUGCAGUAAAGGAAAGGGAAUACCAGGUUAUGUUCACUUCAAGUGAACGACUCAGUCUCUGUCAGUAUCUUGCUAUUGCAAGAUCAAAAGUAUUUGAAAUUGGAUUGAAUCACUUGACUGAAGAGAAUGUCAUUUGUGAAGAGCAAUCGAGAGAAUGGAGAUGCUUGCUGUAACAUAAAAUACCUGUAAAAAAUAGUAGUUGACAUAAAAUUCAGAAGGUUACUUCAGUGGUAAUGUAUAGUUUAUCUAUUCCGUUCUUUAACAUAAAAAAAUCAUAGCUUUUCAUUUCAAUGCCUUUCUUUACAUGAAUGAACAUUAAAAGGUCCAUUGCUAAUCUUCUA
Heteronotia binoei (common prickly gecko) is the source of this 909-nucleotide long non-coding RNA. RefSeq lists it as uncharacterized. The record is from RefSeq and is a predicted model, not a curated record. Lineage: Eukaryota; Metazoa; Chordata; Lepidosauria; Squamata; Gekkonidae. The transcript has 2 exons.